Molecule: ribosomal RNA, 511 nt
Filed under: uncultured Glomus
Lineage: Eukaryota; Fungi; Glomeromycota; Glomeromycetes; Glomerales; Glomeraceae
Description: SSU rRNA
Rfam family: Eukaryotic small subunit ribosomal RNA
Source: RNAcentral
AGCAGCCGCGGUAAUUCCAGCUCCAAUAGCGUAUAUUAAAGUUGUUGCAGUUAAAAAGCUCGUAGUUGAAUUUCGGGGUCAGUAGGUCGGUCGUGCCACUGGUAUGCACUGGUCUCACUGAUUCCUCCUUCUUGAAGAACCGUAAUGUCAUUAACUUGGUGUUGCGGGGAAACAGGACUGUUACCUUGAAAAAAUUAGAGUGUUUAAAGCAGGCCAGCGCCUGAAUACAUUAGCAUGGAAUAAUGAAAUAGGACGUUCGAUCCUAUUUUGUUGGUUUCUAGGAUUGACGUAAUGAUUAAUAGGGAUAGUUGGGGGCAUUAGUAUUCAAUUGUCAGAGGUGAAAUUCUUGGAUUUAUUGAAGACUAACUACUGCGAAAGCAUUUGCCAAGGAUGUUUUCAUUAAUCAAGAACGAAAGUUAGGGGAUCGAAGACGAUCAGAUACCGUCGUAGUCUUAACCAUAAACUAUGCCGACUAGGGAUCGGAUGAUGUUAAUUUUAUAAUGACCCAUUC